ACUAUUUUGGCAGAUAAAGUGCAGUAGAUUUAGAAUUUAUAAAUAUGAUAUUCAUAUGUAGUA
Molecule: transfer RNA, 63 nt
Filed under: Decimiana sp.
Lineage: Eukaryota; Metazoa; Arthropoda; Insecta; Mantodea; Acanthopidae
Description: tRNA-Leu
Source: RNAcentral